This 447-nucleotide ribosomal RNA is filed under the name uncultured bacterium. RNAcentral's name for it is "partial 16S ribosomal RNA". It matches the Rfam family "Bacterial small subunit ribosomal RNA", at positions 29 to 523 of the family's 1533-position model. The record is from RNAcentral.
AGCGAACGCUGGCGGCAGGCCUAACACAUGCAAGUCGAGCGCCCCGCAAGGGGAGCGGCAGACGGGAGAGUAACACGUGGGAACGUACCCUUUGGUUCGGAACAACCCAGGGAAACUUGGGCUAAUACCGGAUAAGCCCUUACGGGGAAAGAUUCAUCGCCGAAGGAUCGGCCCGCGUCUGAUUAGCUAGUUGGUGGGGUAACGGCCCACCAAGGCGACGAUCAGUAGCUGGUCUGAGAGGAUGAUAAGCCUCACUGGGACUGAGGCACGGCCCAGACUCCUACGGGAGGCAGCAGUGGGGAAUAUUGGACAAUGGGCGCAAGCCUGAUCCAGCCAUGCCGCGUGGGUGAUGAAGGCCCUAGGGUUGUAAAGCCCUUUCGGCGGGGAAGAUAAUGACGGUACCCGCAAAAGAAGCCCCGGCUAACUUCGUGCCAGCCGCCGCCGUAA